CAUGUAGAAGAAAGAUCAAUGGUUUCCAGGGAGCACAAGAGAGCAGGACUGCAUGAGAAACUGCAUCUUCUUCGUUCCAUUACUAAUUCUCAUGCUAUGAACAAAGCAUCAAUUAUAGUGGAUGCAUCAAAGUACAUCCAGAGCUAAAACAUAAAGUAGGAAGACUGAAUCAAGAUAUAGCAUCUGCACAAACUUCAAACAAUCGAAAUCCAUUGCCUAUGCAGGUUAAGGUGGAAACCCUAGAGAAGAGUUUUCUGAUAAAUGUAUUUUAAAACCCGGGGUGACUGA
Long non-coding RNA from Hibiscus syriacus, 288 nucleotides. RefSeq lists it as uncharacterized. The record is from RefSeq and is a predicted model, not a curated record. NCBI's taxonomy places the organism in Eukaryota, Viridiplantae, Streptophyta, Magnoliopsida, Malvales, Malvaceae. The transcript has 3 exons.